GGUGGAGACAUUAUGGGAAUCAACCAGAGCCCCUAGGGCUGGCAGAUACCUGCCUGAGGCUGCCAUGGACCCCUGGCUCCUUUGUUAUGUUAUCCUCUGUUUUCUGGGAGCAGGCCCCAUGGAAGCCCAAGUGACACAGACCCCAAGAUACCUCAUCACAAAGACUGGAAAAACAUUGACAAUGACUUGUUCUCAGAAUAUGGACCAUGAAUCUAUGUACUGGUAUCGACAAGACCCAGGACUGGGUCUGAAGUUGAUCUACUAUUCAAUUAAUGUUGAAAUUAUUGACAAAGGAGAUAUCCCUGAUGGCUAUACUGUCUCUCGAAAAGAGAAGAAGAAUUUCCCCCUGUCUUUGAAGUCACCCAGCACCAACCAGACCUCCCUGUACCUCUGUGCCAGCAGUGUAUCCACAGUGCUGCACAGCCAGCUGCUCUCUGCACAAAAAGGAAUAGCCCAGGAACAACCAGACUCCUUCUCAGAAGGCCCUCCUGACCAAGAGGAAAAGCUUCCUGACCACCAGUGUCCUCCCUGGACUGUCCAGUUUCAGAACUCUGAGUGA
Molecule: non-coding RNA, 559 nt
Organism: Tupaia belangeri chinensis (Chinese tree shrew)
Lineage: Eukaryota; Metazoa; Chordata; Mammalia; Scandentia; Tupaiidae
Source: the annotation of a RefSeq genome assembly